AAGACCUUCUGCAAGCUCGGGAAACAAUUGAAGAACUUAAGAAACAAGCUGAAGAGCUGAAGCAGCAGAACGAGGGGCUAAAGAAACAGAUCGAAGAACUUGAGCUGAGCUCUGCCCAGAUUCUUGCUGCUGGAUUCGAGGCCGCCCGGGAGCAGUUCGCCUGCCUGUACCCCGACUUGGAUCUUACCAUGGUGUCUCUCAACAAUGAGGUGGUGGACGGGAAGGUUGUUCCUUCUGAAGAUUGAUUGCUUCCCUCCAUCCACGAUUCUUAUGCUUUCUCCUUACACAUAAUUGUAAUAGACUUUCCCUUUUUCUGUAUAUGUACC
Molecule: long non-coding RNA, 326 nt
Filed under: Phaseolus vulgaris (common bean)
Lineage: Eukaryota; Viridiplantae; Streptophyta; Magnoliopsida; Fabales; Fabaceae
Description: long non-coding RNA (PVUL_LNC002976)
Source: RNAcentral